This is a small nucleolar RNA of Lathyrus oleraceus (garden pea), 100 nucleotides long. RefSeq annotates it as small nucleolar RNA R30/Z108. Lineage: Eukaryota; Viridiplantae; Streptophyta; Magnoliopsida; Fabales; Fabaceae. The transcript has a single exon. The record is from RefSeq and is a predicted model, not a curated record.
AGUUUUCACAAUGAGGAUACACAACUCCCUCUUCUGAUUUUAAGUUGAGGGAAUUUGCUGGCAGAAUCGAACCUUAUAUAAUUUAUCCACCUUUGAGUGA